CAAUAGCGUAUAUUAAAGUUGUUGCGGUUAAAAAGCUCGUAGUUGGAUUUCUGCCGGAGACGACCGGUCCGCCCUCUGGGUGCGCAUCUGGCUCGGCUUGGGCAUCUUCUUGGAAAGCGUAGCUGCACUUGAAUGUGUGGUGCGCGGUUCAGGACAUCUACUUUGAGGAAAUUAGAGUGUUUCAAGCAGGCACGGGCCUUGAAUACAUUAGCAUGGAAUAGUAAGAUAGGACCUUGGUUCUAUUUUGUUGGUUUCUAGAGCUGGGGUAAUGAUUAAUAGGGAUAGUUGGGGGCAUCCGUAUUUAACUGUCAGAGGUGAAAUUCUUGGAUUUGUUAAAGACGAACUACUGCGAAAGCAUUUGCCAAGGAUGUUUUCAUUGA
This 380-nucleotide ribosomal RNA is filed under the name uncultured eukaryote. RNAcentral's name for it is "partial 18S ribosomal RNA". It matches the Rfam family "Eukaryotic small subunit ribosomal RNA", at positions 592 to 976 of the family's 1831-position model. The record is from RNAcentral.